AUUGAACGCUGGCGGCAUGCUUUACACAUGCAAGUCGAACGGGGUGAGAGGGCAACUUCUCAUUCAGUGGCGAACGGGUGAGUAAUGCAUCGGAACGUACCCUGUAGUGGGGGAUAACGCCGGGAAACCGGCGCUAAUACCGCAUAUUUCUCUGUGGAGGAAAGCGGGGGACCGUGUUAGAGGGCCUCGCGCUAUGGGAGCGGCCGAUGUCCGAUUAGCUAGUUGGUGGGGAAUGGCCCACCAAGGCUGCGAUCGGUAGCUGGUCUGAGAGGAUGAUCAGCCACACUGGGACUGAGACACGGCCCAGACUCC
This 312-nucleotide ribosomal RNA is filed under the name uncultured bacterium. RNAcentral's name for it is "bacterial SSU rRNA". It matches the Rfam family "Bacterial small subunit ribosomal RNA", at positions 30 to 339 of the family's 1533-position model. The record is from RNAcentral.